RNAcentral lists this transfer RNA (85 nucleotides) under Felis catus (domestic cat). It matches the Rfam family "tRNA". Rfam says of the family: Transfer RNA (tRNA) molecules are approximately 80 nucleotides in length. Their secondary structure includes four short double-helical elements and three loops (D, anti-codon, and T loops). The record is from Rfam by way of RNAcentral. Lineage: Eukaryota; Metazoa; Chordata; Mammalia; Carnivora; Felidae.
ACCUGGGUGGCUCAGUCAGUUGAGCAUCUGACUUCGGCUCAGGUCAUGAUCUCACGGUUUGUGGGUUCGAGCCCCACAUCGGGCU